RNAcentral lists this ribosomal RNA (453 nucleotides) under uncultured bacterium. RNAcentral's name for it is "bacterial SSU rRNA". It matches the Rfam family "Bacterial small subunit ribosomal RNA", at positions 340 to 786 of the family's 1533-position model. The record is from RNAcentral.
UACGGAAGGCAGCAGUGGGGAAUAUUGCACAAUGGGCGCAAGCCUGAUGCAGCCAUGCCGCGUGUAUGAAGAAGGCCUUCGGGUUGUAAAGUACUUUCAGUCGUGAGGAAGGUGUUAAGGUUAAUAACCUUAGCAAUUGACGUUAGCGACAGAAGAAGCACCGGCUAACUCCGUGCCAGCAGCCGCGGUAAUACGGAGGGUGCGAGCGUUAAUCGGAAUUACUGGGCGUAAAGGGCACGCAGGCGGUUAAUUAAGUUGGAUGUGAAAUCCCCGGGCUUAACCUGGGAAUGGCAUUCAAGACUGGUUAGCUAGAGUCUUGUAGAGGGGGUAGAAUUCCAUGUGUAGCGGUGAAAUGCGUAGAGAUGUGGAGGAAUACCGGUGGCGAAGGCGGCCCCUGGACAAAGACUGACGCUCAUGUGCGAAAGCGUGGGGAGCGAAACAGGGAUAGAUACC